Long non-coding RNA from Triticum dicoccoides, 5129 nucleotides. RefSeq lists it as uncharacterized. The transcript has 3 exons. Lineage: Eukaryota; Viridiplantae; Streptophyta; Magnoliopsida; Poales; Poaceae. The record is from RefSeq and is a predicted model, not a curated record.
CUGCCCUUGAUCCCCUCGACCGCGCUCUCCUCGAUCCCCUCGGACGUACAAUCUCGUCGUCGCCGACCUAUGGGAUCGCCGCCGCCGAGCCGAGGUACGGGAUCGUCUCCAUCACGUUCCUUCCCUGACCGCCCCUCCCUGGAUCCACCCCUCGUGAUGCGGCUGCUCUCUCCCUCUUACCGCGAUGUGGCGUCGCCCCCAUCUGUCGCUCCGCCGCCGCCGCCUCCCUCCCCUUGCUUCCCUAUCUCCCUCUUAGCCACCUCCACCCCCACCCUUCCUCUCCAUUGUCGGAUCCGGUUACAGAUCGCCAUGGUUAGGCGAUGGAGCUCCAUGUCCAUGGCGCACGCGUGCUCAUCAAGAAAGCGGCUCCCGGAUCUUGAUCGCGCGGCCGUGACAGAGGGGAUCGAGGUGGCUGCCGCCUCUGCUGAAGACCAAGCCCCCACCUUGUCCAGAAUCACUUCCUCCGCCGUGUUCCACCAAGGAAGGAGGGGGCGGCUCAAAGUCUCCCUCGCUGCCGGCUCCAGAUGCAGCCGUCACCAUGGGUGAGCGCCUCAUACACGACCAGUUUUGAUGGAUUCGUGGCCACAUGCACGUCUAGUGACAAAGCAGUCGGACAUGACGAGGCUCACGCAGCGUCUCGAUCCUGAAGCCAAGCGUUUGUUUGUUUUCCUCCAGGUGUGCACUAAAUUAAUACUAUCCCCGAGUGAAGGUGACGUUUCCAGUAAGAGAAUUGACAAUGCUGAUAGUGACGUGAUAUUUCAUAGCGUUGUCGAUGUCAGGUAUGUCGCAAAUUUCUCUCUUUUUACUUAGCCAACUUAUUUUACUACCUGGGGUGUUAUGAAAUUUUGUUUCUAAAACAUAUUGUGUGGUGUUUCGUUCUGGAGUGUUUGUACGGAAAUGGCAUGGUAUUAUAGUAUUUCGGCGGCGUGGCUACUUCGUCGUCAAAGAACACUCCGACACCAUUUUCCGCUGGCAUGUUCCAUUGAAUGUCAUUGCUUUUAUCAUGGCAUCCAACACUUGCAGAUGUGACUCAAAAGGGGGUUCUGAAGCUGAUGAACUUGGAUGGCCUGACAGUCUACCAUACCACCAACCAUCUCCAAGUACACGAACUUGAAAACUUUCUAAGAUUCGUACACACCUUCAGGAGAAGUUUGGAUCUUUUUAGAUAAUUAUUGCAACCAUCUGUCUGAAUGAGCAUAAAAACAACGCUAUGAGGUAAUGCAAGCAUGAGGGUGCCUCUUUCCACAAUAUGCGAACAUAUGGGAUACUCGAGGCUUUUUGUUGUUUUUCAAUCUAAGGCACGUGAAACUUUACUGUCGUUAUUUUACAUACCAAUAUCAUUGCUUCCUCCAAUUUCAAUUGAUUUUCAUUUCUUGAUUCAUGUGUGUAUAGUACAAAGAGGAGAUAAAAGGAGUAUUGGAAAGCUUAAAACCAUCCCCCCAAAACCACUCUGCCUGGAGAAAGAAGACAAUAUUUGGCAUGAUCUGUUUCAUCUACUAUAGGUCAUUUGGUAUUUUAUUGUGCACACACUAUAUUUUCAUGUAAGAAUAAUCUAGAGGGAAGGGGAGCCUUGGCGCAGUGGUAAAGCUGCUGCCUUGUGACCAUGAGGUCACGGGUUCAAGUCCUGGAAACAGCCCAAAGUGGUCGGACCCUUCCCCGACCCUGCGCAAGCGGGAGCUACAUGCACCGGGCUGCCCUUUUUUAAGAAUAAUCUAGAGGCUUGUUCUCUUAGGCAUAUAUCAAGCAAGCUUCUGAUGGAGAAGAAAGAAGCAAUUCUUCUCUUCAAUUCAAACAAUUGAUUUGUUAAGUUGUUUUCAGUUUGAGGUGUCAAAAUGAGAACUUCGAGGAUCAAGACCUUUGAACUGAAACCAAAAUUAAGAUAUAACACGACUCCGGGACACAUAGAGUAGCUAACUAGAUGUAUGGUAUUUCCAGAAAAGAACAAUAGAAUAAAAUAGGACACCAGAAAAAUCCAGUAGGGAACCUGAUGGGCUACCCUCUUCGGUAAAAACUUGCUUCAUGCCAUUGUAUAAUCUAUUGGGAAGUCACAGAGUCAAAAAUCGUUGUCCCGUUCUCUUCGGUAAUGAUUUUUUUUAGCUACGCCUCAACUUAACGUGUCGGUGACUCCGUUAGGACACCAGGAACAUGAUUGCAGUCCAAGAUGCCAUCUGCAACCUCAAUCCAUUGAAUGUAAUUCAGUGAAAUAUAUAUGUUCUCAUUUACCAGACUUAGCGUUCAGUUCAAUUAAAUUUGUCAGUUUACUGAUUGCUGCAUAGCUACCAUUUCUCAAAUUUACGAUGUGGUUUCUGCUGUUGAUUUCAAGUUGGCCAGAUAUAAUUAAACCUAGGUUAUUGUCAUUUUAGCAGGGGGAAAUCUUGAUUCCUAAAUGCAGUAGGUUAACUGUCAAUAAAUCUUUUAUGUAUAAUACACUGCCUGGAAUGUUGCUCUAAAUAAUUAUUAUGUAAAAUCAAGAUAUUUGUUAUUGGUUUUUCUCUUUUUAGAUAAAACAGAUAUGAUGCAUGUACAACUGUAAAUGCCAAGUUCUGAAGCUCAUAUGUUCCGUACUUCGUUUUAGUUAUGAAGCAAAUAGCUCAAGGUAUUUCACAUUGGAAGAACUUAGUCUGUGACGUACGAUGUUUUCUAAUGGCACUGAAUACUGUAUAAUUUAAGAUAUAAAUCAUUAAAAUUUCUUUUACUCAUACAUCUGACAACCAGAAUGUGUCAUGAUAAUGUAAGCAUGCAAUAUUGUACUGCCAUAUAAUCUGUCAUUACAUUUUUUUUGGAACCAUAACCAUGCAACAUUAUACUGCCAAAAUAAUAAUCUGACUAUACAUUUGAUUAUUGCUUGCAUUCAUAUAUUUUUUCACUUCCGCUUUUGUUUUAUGUCCAGUAAACAACAUCAAUCAUAGGGUAGGAAACGUUGUUGUCCGUCUGCUUUUAUUAGAUUCUUCAGAAUUACAUUUUCCAAGUUAUUUGUGACUGUUUACGAUGAGUAGAUUUCCAUUACAUGUAGUCAGUCUAACGAGUAAGAUAGAAGACUAUAUUUUCACUUUAGUUAGUCACUGCUCAUUUGAUUUUCCAUGCCUCCCAAUGCUAACCGACACAACUGCUUUCUCUGCCUAUGCUGCAUGGCUAUAAGGCACCGUGUCAUUGACGUUGAGGCCAAGGCUAUGUGCCUCGGGUGCGAUCUUGAUGAGAUCUACUCAGCCACCUUCUUAAAAGUGAAAAUACUAACGAACUAUAGUUGCACGCGAGAAUUGAUUUUAAAUUUGAAAGUUAUUAGUAUCUUUUAGUAGGGAGAUGAACUUACUUCAGGUUACAGGAUGUCGUGAUCUUUUUUCGUUUUUCCCUGAUUUCAUUCCGAAUAGCUUGCGUCUGUUUUGGUGUUGUACAUGCUGCAGUGUGGUACUUGCAACUGUUGCCAUUAUCACUUGAAAUUUUCUAUGAAUUGCUCAUCGACAGUUGAAUUCAGAUCAAGGUUCCACAAUUGUUCAUCUAACUUUCAACUUCAUAAUUUUGCAGCUCGUAGUGGAUAGGAGAUGAUGCAACCGAAGGCACACUUCAAUACUCUUUUAUUUAGUCUUCCCUUUUUCCUGUGUGUCCAAGAGAUUGUUACCAGCAUUUUUUCCAAGCAUGUAUUACCGAGUAAAUACUAGUUUUUAUUUCAGUCCUUCCCUUACCCCUCCACCGGAUUUGAUUUUUUUUUACAUUUGUGACAAAGGCAGAUGUUGACUUCCUUUACAAUGGUGCCGAGGAGAUCAAUGUUUGUUUUUGAUCUGAUUAACUUCAGAUAUUUAAACAAUAAUUAUUGCUUCCAAAUAAAAUUGAUCAUGGCGUGAUAUACAUCUAUCAACUUGCAUUUUUUUCCUUUAUGUUCCAGUAUCCAUAGAAAAGGUCACAGUACAUCACUUUCAUUUAUAUCGGACGUGCGCAACAAAACAGCUGGUUACAAUUCUGUAGAUUUUCCUGCUACCCUUUGGUUUGUAGUUAGUACCGAGUAUUAUAGUCCCUUUAGGCCUUGGAGUUGCAUAUGAUAUGGGAGCAAUAGGUUCAGUGAAAAAGUCUUAAAGCCUGGGAUGGGUUUUUUUGUAGGCUUGUGUAGUGCACAUUCUGAUGUACGAGCUAUGACUUCCUUUGUUUUUGUGAUGAAAUAGUGUGUCCAAUAUGUAUAGUUUUGAAUCAUGGCAAUUAAUCAGUUAUGGAUCAGAUGUCUUAGUAAGCUGGUUCACACUCCCUCCGUCCCGAAUGACGUGUUGAAUAAAUGGAUGUAUCUAGAUGUAUUUUUAGUUUUAUAUACAUCUAUUCAUGUCCAUUUCUGCGACAAGUAAUUCGGGAUGGAGGGAGUACUUGAUAGGGUAGUGAGAGAGGCUCUUUUGAUUAGAUCAAAUAGCUUAUUUUGCAUUGGCAUACACAAUGCGGUAUAAUUAGAACAAUCCGUGUUUACUUUAUCCCUUUCUCAGUUAUAUUUAUUUUAGAAUUAAUUUUGGCAUUGCUUGAUAGGACUAUGAUUUCUUAUAUUUUUGUUUAUGAUGCAUAUUUCUAAUUGCAGUGCAGAGGCUCCGCAAUGAGCACGCAUGCCAGCUUUUCCUUUGAGCCCGAGUCCAUUAUCUUGCCCUGUGGCACAGAAAUAUAUUUCAAGUUUCUUGGGUGCAUCUGUUAGCUGCUAAGGUGGAUUUAAUCAGGCAGCUUAUUGAUCUCAAGAACUCUUCAAUCUCAUAUGGCCGUCUCCCUUUCCAGCCAACAUAAAAAGAAAAACUCCAUGCUGGUCACAACAUCUAGAGCCACUUCUAAUCUAUGGAGCUCAAUUCUAUUUUUAUAACAAGCAUGCGAGUUUGGAUGCAAUCUUCAGAUGAAUCAAGCCUGAGAUCCAUAGGUGUCGUGGGCUAAUUAGUUGUUGAGUUGCAAAGAUGCAAAGUAUUUUGUACCUUCCAUCUGGAAAUACUUGUUGAGGAAAUGGACAAAGAUGGAUGUAUCUAGAACUAAAAUAUGUCUAGAUACAUCCAUUUCUCCGACAAUAAUUCCGGACGGAGGGAGUAUGUUUCAUGAAAGAAUAUUGACGCAAACAACUAAUUUAUGAUAAUUAUUGUAUCAUUUGGAUCCUAUAAAUGGCAUGUAUAUCAUCUUCCUUU